AUAUGUGAUUAGAUUAGAUGAUCCGAUUGUAGGGUUUAAUGGUGGACAUGCACAGUGGAAGCAAAAUAAAUUUUAAAAAUUUAAAUUAAGAAAUCUUAAAUAUUAAACCCUUAAACCAGUAUCUCCUGGAUAAUUAACAAUCAUAUAUAACAUAAAUUCAAAAUUAAAUUUAAGCUAUAGAAGAAUACCUGCAGUGCUUAAUCCAAAUUCCGACAGAACCUCCAUCAGACGCCCA
This 235-nucleotide long non-coding RNA is filed under the name Elaeis guineensis (African oil palm). RNAcentral describes it as "long non-coding RNA (EGUI_LNC056057)". Lineage: Eukaryota; Viridiplantae; Streptophyta; Magnoliopsida; Arecales; Arecaceae. The record is from RNAcentral.